GCCGCGCUUGGCGGGGUGCGGGACCGCUCGUCGCUGGCGCUGACGGCGGCGCGCAUGAAGCAGGACACGAUCUUUCGCGACGCGGCGC
RNAcentral lists this transfer RNA (88 nucleotides) under Roseovarius sp. A-2. RNAcentral's name for it is "tRNA-Ala". The record is from RNAcentral. Lineage: Bacteria; Pseudomonadati; Pseudomonadota; Alphaproteobacteria; Rhodobacterales; Roseobacteraceae.